GAUGAACGCUGGCGGCGUGCUUAACACAUGCAAGUCGAACGGUGAACACGGAGCUUGCUCUGUGGGCUCAGUGGCGAACGGGUGCGUAACACGUGAGCAACCUGCCCCUGACUCUGGGAUAAGCGCUGGAAACGGCGCCUACUACUGGACAUGUGACGUGACCGCAUGGUCUGCGUUUGGAAAGAUUUUUCGGUUGGGGAUGGGCUCGCGGCCUAUCAGCUUGUUGGUGAGGUAAUGGCUCACCACGGCGUCGACGGGUAGCCGGCCUGAGAGGGUGACCGGCCACACUGGGACUGAGACACGGCCCAGACUCCAACGGGAGGCAGCAGUGGGGAAUAUUGCACAAUGGGCGCAAGCCUGAUGCAGCAACGCCGCGUGAGGGAUGACGGCCUUCGGGUUGUAAACCUCUUUUAGCAGAGAAGAAGCGAAAGUGACGGUACCUGAAGAAAAAGCGCCGGCUAACUACGUG
RNAcentral lists this ribosomal RNA (469 nucleotides) under uncultured bacterium. RNAcentral's name for it is "partial 16S ribosomal RNA". It matches the Rfam family "Bacterial small subunit ribosomal RNA", at positions 28 to 507 of the family's 1533-position model. The record is from RNAcentral.